GGCUGGGACCUCUGUACCUGCCAACUGGUGUGUCACGGAGAGGCUAAAAUUACUGGCUGGCCAAUUAUCUGAUUAAAGAGAACCUUUCAUUUGAGGCUUAAAAAAAAAAUCCAGACUGAAAUCAAAACCUUCUAUAAGACUUCUUUCACGGAACAAAAGAGGAGAUAAGUCAAUCCGAAUAUCAGUGAGGCACCUUGGCAUUAGAUUUCCAGGACCAAGCGGUGUAGAGGGCAGCAAGCCUCGAGAGAGAAUCAGGUUCCUGGAUACAAAAAGCAGUAAGAGCCGAUAUGAUUAUAACAAGUUGAGUGUUGGAACUUGGGUAUGCAACAGAAGACUGAUAAAGCUGGUGCAGUUGAAAACACUCUUUCAUCACAUGCUUAGCAGAAGUUCAAGUGGAGCGGAGCGCACAGCCAAGAAUCUGUCUGCGAGAUUCCCCGUCAGAAUGUCAGGUUUCGCUUCUGACUAACCCUGCUCCGAUCUGAUAGGGCUGACAGAAACAAAGGAAAUGUGCAGCCGGCAAAGCUCUCCCCCAGCCUUCUCCCGCUGAUCCCUCAAGACUGCAGACCAGCGAUUUUUUUUUUUUUCACAUUCACACAAGAACUCAGAGCUGCUGGCUUACCAAGCGCCAUGACACUUUUUAAAAUACUACUGGAAAUUGAUAAACUAUGUAAAAUUAAACCGGUAUCAAAGCUUA
Molecule: non-coding RNA, 694 nt
Organism: Peromyscus maniculatus bairdii (prairie deer mouse)
Lineage: Eukaryota; Metazoa; Chordata; Mammalia; Rodentia; Cricetidae
Source: RefSeq, a predicted model, not a curated record